This 253-nucleotide ribosomal RNA is filed under the name uncultured bacterium. RNAcentral's name for it is "partial 16S ribosomal RNA". It matches the Rfam family "Bacterial small subunit ribosomal RNA", at positions 524 to 776 of the family's 1533-position model. The record is from RNAcentral.
UACGGAGGGUGCGAGUGUUGUUCGGAAUUAUUGGGCGUAAAGCGCGUGUAGGCGGUUUGGUAAGUCUGAUGUGAAAGCCCUGGGCUCAACCCGGGAAGUGCAUUGGAAACUGUCAGACUUGAAUACGGGAGAGGGUAGUGGAAUUCCUGGUGUAGGAGUGAAAUCCGUAGAUAUCAGGAGGAACACCGGUGGCGAAGGCGGCUACCUGGACCGAUACUGACGCUGAGGCGCGAAAGCGUGGGGAGCAAACAGG